This 390-nucleotide ribosomal RNA is filed under the name uncultured bacterium. Its description in RNAcentral is "bacterial SSU rRNA". It matches the Rfam family "Bacterial small subunit ribosomal RNA", at positions 29 to 418 of the family's 1533-position model. The record is from RNAcentral.
AUUGAACGCUGGCGGCAUGCCUUACACAUGCAAGUCGAACGGCAGCACGGGGGCAACCCUGGUGGCGAGUGGCGGACGGGUGAGUAAUGCAUCGGAACGUGCCCUGAAGUGGGGGAUAACGCAGCGAAAGCUACGCUAAUACCGCAUAUUCUGUGAGCAGGAAAGCAGGGGAUCGCAAGACCUUGCGCUUUGGGAGCGGCCGAUGUCGGAUUAGCUAGUUGGUGGGGUAAAGGCCUACCAAGGCGACGAUCCGUAGCGGGUCUGAGAGGAUGAUCCGCCACACUGGGACUGAGACACGGCCCAGACUCCUACGGGAGGCGAGCAGUGGGGAAUUUUGGGACAAUGGGCGAAAGCCUGAUCCAGCCAUGCCGCGUGAGUGAAGAAGGCCUU